CCUACGGGUGGCUGCAGUCGAGAAUCAUUCACAAUGGGGGAAACCCUGAUGGUGCGACGCCGCGUGGGGGAAUGAAGUUCUUCGGAUUGUAAACCCCUGUCAUGUGGGAGCAAAUUAAAAAGAUAGUACCACAAGAGGAAGAGACGGCUAACUCUGUGCCAGCAGCCGCGGUAAUACAGAGGUCUCAAGCGUUGUUCGGAAUCACUGGGCGUAAAGCGUGCGUAGGCUGUUGCGUAAGUCGUGUGUGAAAGGCACGGGCUCAACCCGCGGACGGCACAUGAUACUGCGAGACUAGAGUAAGGGAGGGGGAACCGGAAUUCUCGGUGUAGCAGUGAAAUGCGUAGAUAUCGAGAGGAACACUCGUGGCGAAGGCGGGUUCCUGGACAUUAACUGACGCUGAGGCACGAAGGCCAGGGGAGCGAAAGGGAUUAGAUACCCCUGUAGUC
RNAcentral lists this ribosomal RNA (446 nucleotides) under uncultured bacterium. RNAcentral describes it as "partial 16S ribosomal RNA". It matches the Rfam family "Bacterial small subunit ribosomal RNA", at positions 338 to 795 of the family's 1533-position model. The record is from RNAcentral.